AUGUGGGGUGAUGCAGGGAGCAGCAAGGCGUCGCUAUGGGUCCUGGAUGGCAGCGGAGCAUCUGCUGGCAAGCGGCUGCGGGCAAGAGCACGAUGGGUCCUGGUCCUGGAGCUUGACGGCAUUCAGAGGUGGGUGGCGCGGGUGAGGGCUCCAUGGGAAGCUGAUGGAGGUGCGAACGGAGAAGAGAAAGGGAGGUCGGGCGUUGCAGCGGACCGAGACGGCGGCGCGAGCGGGGGAUGCGGUGUUGCUGGCAGGGGAGGCAUGGCCUCGCCGGAGUCAGCGAGGCUUCGCGGCAGGGGCAUCGGGCGCGGAGGAAGAUGGGGAGCGAAGCGUUGA
This 336-nucleotide ribosomal RNA is filed under the name Triticum aestivum (bread wheat). RNAcentral describes it as "partial small subunit ribosomal RNA". The record is from RNAcentral. Lineage: Eukaryota; Viridiplantae; Streptophyta; Magnoliopsida; Poales; Poaceae.